Molecule: long non-coding RNA, 212 nt
Filed under: Mytilus galloprovincialis (Mediterranean mussel)
Lineage: Eukaryota; Metazoa; Mollusca; Bivalvia; Mytilida; Mytilidae
Source: RNAcentral
AAUUUUAUGAAUGAAAUGCGACAAAAAUACACGUUUAUUUCCCACAGUGGAUGUAGUAAACAUGCUCUAGUUUUUGCUUAUUUUUGUCGAGUCAUAUUCAAGACAUAAAACAAUUAUAGAACUUGACAAACAUUAUUAUGUUGCGGGCGAAUUCUACAUGUAUGCAAGUAUUUUAAAUGUAUCACCCUUGCACAAAUCUUAUAAAAGAAGAG